UACGUAGGUGGCAAGCGUUAUCCGGAUUUAUUGGGCGUAAAGCGAGCGCAGGCGGUUGCUUAGGUCUGAUGUGAAAGCCUUCGGCUUAACCGAAGAAGUGCAUCGGAAACCGGGCAACUUGAGUGCAGAAGAGGACAGUGGAACUCCAUGUGUAGCGGUGGAAUGCGUAGAUAUCAGGAGGAACACCGGUGGCGAAGGCGGCCUGCUGGACGGCGACUGACGUUGAGGCUCGAAAGCGUGGGGAGCAAACAGG
Molecule: ribosomal RNA, 253 nt
Filed under: uncultured Lactobacillus sp.
Lineage: Bacteria; Bacillati; Bacillota; Bacilli; Lactobacillales; Lactobacillaceae
Description: partial 16S ribosomal RNA
Rfam family: Bacterial small subunit ribosomal RNA
Source: RNAcentral